GUACCUACGGGGCGCAGCAGUAGGGAAUUUUCGUCAAUGGGCGCAAGCCUGAACGAGCAAUGCCGCGUGAACGAGGAAGGUCUUCGGAUCGUAAAGUUCUGUUGAAGGGGAAAAAGAGCGGAGAGAGGAAAUGAACUCCGAUUGAUAUUACCCUUCGAGGAAGUCACGGCUAACUACGUGCCAGCAGCCGCGGUAAUACGUAGGUGGCGAGCGUUAUCCGGUAUGAUUGGGCGUAAAGGGUGCGUAGGCGGCCUGCUAAGUCUGGAGUGAAAGGUACGGGCUCAACCGGUACCGGCUCUGGAAAA
RNAcentral lists this ribosomal RNA (305 nucleotides) under uncultured bacterium. RNAcentral describes it as "bacterial SSU rRNA". It matches the Rfam family "Bacterial small subunit ribosomal RNA", at positions 333 to 633 of the family's 1533-position model. The record is from RNAcentral.